RNAcentral lists this unclassified non-coding RNA (391 nucleotides) under soil metagenome. RNAcentral's name for it is "partial contains 5.8S ribosomal RNA, internal transcribed spacer 2, and large subunit ribosomal RNA". The stretch from base 1 to 122 matches the Rfam family "5.8S ribosomal RNA", at positions 35 to 154 of the family's 154-position model. The record is from RNAcentral.
GAUGAAGAACGUAGCGAAAUGCGAUACUUGGUGUGAAUUGCAGAAUCCCGUGAACCAUCGAGUCUUUGAACGCAAGUUGCGCCCGAAGCCAUUAGGCCGAGGGCACGCCUGCCUGGGCGUCACACGUCGUUGCCCCCCCAUCUACUCCUUCGGGAUUGCGGGGGGCGGAUGAUGGCCUCCCGUGCGCCUCGCCGCGCGGUUGGCACAAAUGCCAAGUCCUCGGCGACGCACGCCACGACAAUCGGUGGUUGCGAAACCUCGGUUGCCCGUCGUGUGCGGUCGUCGCGCAUCGAGGGCUCGAAAAAAUUGCCGGGUUCCGGCUCGGCUUUCAACGCGACCCCAGGUCAGGCGGGGUUACCCGCUGAAUUUAAGCAUAUCAAUAAGCGGAGGA